CCCUUCACAGCAGGGCAGAGGAAAGAGGUGGAGUUUGGAGGCCUUGUGACCCCCAUCCCCCAACAAGGGAGCUGACACCAUCCAAUAAUCCAGGCAUCUUUCUCCAUAGAGGGGUGCUGGAUCCCACAGUUCUCCCCCCUUUUCUCUGUGGGGAAGAGGGUUGAAGCAUAAACGGAAAUGGGGGACCGUGGCUGUGUCUGUUAAGAGGCUCGGCUUCUGGGCAGCGCACCACUGAGAACGCCCGUGGGCCCAGGCAGGAUCCAGUUUGAGGCAGUUACUACGCGCCCCCCUCCCCAGCAGGGGCUGGAAUGUAGCCCCGUAGAAAAGCACCUGCCUGACACGUGAGGCCCCUUUAUGUCUUCAACAGCAGAAAAUAAACUGAACGUUCCCUUUGUUUCGGUCUGGGAAGGUCCAAGGGCCCCUUCCUUCCCGAGAGCUACUUUCUGUAUUGUGCUGAGUUUCUUCCAGGAACUUGGUUUCUUCCUGAAGUUCCCGAGACCUCUGACCUUCCCACCCGGAGAAAGUCACAAGCAAGCCACCACCUCAGCCCUUUGUGGAUCAGGGAGGCUGUGGAGCCCCGCUUCCCUGCCCCCAUCCUGUUUGCAGAGACAAAGUCCGCUGCCACCUCUCAGGGCCCGGCGGCCCCGGGGCGAGUGACCUGGAGCCACCCUCCCAGUGAGGCCAGCCUGUGAUGUCCCCGCCAGUCCAGGGUAUGACGCUGGCCAGGCCUUCCAUGCCCCGCCACGGUGCAACCACGACCCUGGGCGCCCCCUGCUGGUGGCCGUGCUCAGCAAGAGGAGAAAAUCAAAGCCUCAGAUACGUUUUUUCCUUGUGUAUUUUUUGAAGUUUUUUCUGUAAAAUGUCCCGUUCUUCCAUAACUUAUAAACAUGAUUUCUAUGGAGGGGUGGAGGGGAAAGUGACGGGCGGCCGGGCGCGACUCUGCCGCCCUCGGGAGGACAAGGACGUCACGUCUUUUGUCCCUGAGCCUGUCCAGCCACCUCUACCAGGGCGCCCUUCAAAUUCCAGAACUCCCUCCGGGACCCCAGGGCCCGGGCGGGCACUGUCCCCUGGCGCUGGGGAUCUUCGGGCGUGAGGUGGGUCCCCUCCUUCCCGCUGCCCUGACCCCAGGAGGGAGGGAGAGGAGGGGAGGGCGGCCGGCCCAGUGUGGUCUGCAGAGGAGGGCUUGAGGGCUCAGCCGAUGGUGAGUCCAAAGCCGCACAGGAACUUAUUCUUGCGGUGGUUCAGGAAGGCGCAGAGGGACAGUGUCAGGGGCAGGGGAGGCAGCUUCUUCUCGAGUGUGGCGCCCACGAUCCAGUUACUGUUCACAGAGCCUGUGGGCCAAGAGCGGGGUUGGUGCACCUGGUCACCUCUAUGGGUAGCCACGCCCUGUCACAUGGCAGGCAGCUACUGCACAGGCGCACGCCUCCCCAGCCCUGAUUUCUGGGAAUGGUCGAGCUCCUGAAUACACAGGUGCAUGACAACCUUAGGGGCCGGUGCCAGCUCAGCCAGAGUGAACGGAGUCGGUUGGUCUCCAACUGCAUAGUCCUGGGCAUAAGGGGCGGGCCAGUAAAUGAGUUCCCGCCUUCCAGCUCCUGCUUUGACCCCUCAGUGGCAGGAGGGGGCCUGGGACUCCUAAGCCACAAUAAACUCUUCCCUCCCA
Mesocricetus auratus (golden hamster) is the source of this 1660-nucleotide long non-coding RNA. RefSeq lists it as uncharacterized. The transcript is spliced from 2 exons. The record is from RefSeq and is a predicted model, not a curated record. NCBI's taxonomy places the organism in Eukaryota, Metazoa, Chordata, Mammalia, Rodentia, Cricetidae.